RNAcentral lists this ribosomal RNA (468 nucleotides) under uncultured bacterium. RNAcentral describes it as "bacterial SSU rRNA". It matches the Rfam family "Bacterial small subunit ribosomal RNA", at positions 32 to 507 of the family's 1533-position model. The record is from RNAcentral.
AAUCAACGCUGGCGGCGUGCCUCAGACAUGCAAGUCGAACGAUUAAAGCUCUCUUCGGAGAGUGCAUAGAGUGGCGCACGGGUGAGUAACACGUAAGUAAUCUACCUUCGAGUGGGGAAUAACGUCCGGAAACGGGCGCUAAUACCGCAUAAUGCAGCGGCAUCGCAAGAUGACAGUUGUUAAAGGAGCAAUCCGCUUGAAGAGGAGCUUGCGGCAGAUUAGCUAGUUGGUAGGGUAAUGGCCAACCAAGGCUACGAUCUGUAACCGGUCUUAGAGGACGGUCGGUCACACUGACACUGAAUAACGGGUCAGACUCCUACGGGAGGCAGCAGUCGGGAAUUUUGGGCAAUGGGGGAAACCCUGACCCAGCAACGCCGCGUGAAGGAUGAAGUAUUUCGGUAUGUAAACUUCGAAAGAAUAGGAAGAAUUAAAUGACGGUACUAUUUAUAAGGUCCGGCUAACUACGUG